GUUUAAUGGGUUUGGGGUUUGGAGGACUAGUUCAUGUAGUAGUGGAAAUUUAGCUGGAAAGCUUUCACCUUGGGCUUUUCAUGUGUUUCAUACUUCCUGCCUUAUAUACAGGAUACUUCUCUGUGAGGUUGAGAUUGCAAAUCAGUCCACUAGUUCAAAAGUGAGAAGAAGAUCUAGGAGAAAAAAUGCAGCCAAGUGCAAUGGACAAGAUGGUCAGAUGAAAGCUUUGAGCACUCAAAUCCAUUCUGUAUUCUGCCCAGAGUGCCAGGGUACUGGUGCAAUCAUUGAUGGAGAUGACCUGGAGAAACCAAAUCUCCCUCUGUCUCAGAUGUUCAAGUAUAAGAUAAAGGUGAGUGAUGCACGUAGAGCAUGGACGAAGAGUCCUGAAAUGCUGGAGAAUUGCUCGACAGGUUUUCAUUUCCUUUUUAAUUAAGGAUAACAAUGAUCAUAACAAACUCAAGUUUGCCUUUGUGAUUUUGAUGCUUGGAAAGGGUGAAACCAUUAAAGUUGCUGCAUUUCUACAGAGCAGAUUAAUAGAGUUGGCUUCAAGAACAGUGGGAACCAUGCGGUCGGUUGUUUUAGCUUCUCACCGUAGCAUGUAUGUACUUCUAACGUGCACCUUCUUGUUGUAUAUGACUGGCUCAUGAGUAGGACUUUGGAGUGGACAGGCGUAGGUUGUAUGGGGCUGUUAGCUUUUGUGGAU
Molecule: non-coding RNA, 703 nt
Organism: Prunus mume (Japanese apricot)
Lineage: Eukaryota; Viridiplantae; Streptophyta; Magnoliopsida; Rosales; Rosaceae
Source: RefSeq, a predicted model, not a curated record